UUGGCUUAAACUAUUGUGGAUCUACACUUUGAAAAUUGAAUCCACAGAAAGGGAUGGAAAAUACAUUAAUUUCAUCCAA
Molecule: microRNA precursor, 79 nt
Filed under: Medicago truncatula (barrel medic)
Lineage: Eukaryota; Viridiplantae; Streptophyta; Magnoliopsida; Fabales; Fabaceae
Description: MIR5269 microRNA precursor family
Rfam family: MIR5269 microRNA precursor family
Source: Rfam by way of RNAcentral